RNAcentral lists this ribosomal RNA (439 nucleotides) under uncultured bacterium. RNAcentral's name for it is "partial 16S ribosomal RNA". It matches the Rfam family "Bacterial small subunit ribosomal RNA", at positions 339 to 795 of the family's 1533-position model. The record is from RNAcentral.
CUACGGGUUGCUCCAGUGAGGAAUAUUGCACAAUGGGGGGAACCCUGAUGCAGCAACGCCGCGUGGAGGAUGACGCAUUUCGGUGUGUAAACUCCUUUUAUAUGUCAAGAAAAUGACGGUAGCAUAUGAAUAAGCACCGGCUAACUCCGUGCCAGCAGCCGCGGUAAUACGGAGGGUGCAAGCGUUACUCGGAAUCACUGGGCGUAAAGGACGCGUAGGCGGGUUGGAAAGUCAGGUGUGAAAUCCUACAGCUUAACUGUAGAACUGCACUUGAAACUUCUAAUCUAGAGUUUGGGAGGGGGAGAUGGAGUUAGUGGUGUAGGGGUAAAAUCCGUAGAUAUCACUAGGAAUACCUAAAGCGAAGGCGAUCUCCUGGAACAUUACUGACGCUAAGGCGUGAAAGCGUGGGGAGCAAUCAGGAUUAGAUACCCUCGUAGUC